RNAcentral lists this ribosomal RNA (1032 nucleotides) under Dothideaceae sp. RNAcentral's name for it is "SSU rRNA". It matches the Rfam family "Eukaryotic small subunit ribosomal RNA", at positions 65 to 1107 of the family's 1831-position model. The record is from RNAcentral. Lineage: Eukaryota; Fungi; Ascomycota; Dothideomycetes; Dothideales; Dothideaceae.
AUAAGCAACUAUACGGUGAAACUGCGAAUGGCUCAUUAAAUCAGUUAUCGUUUAUUUGAUAGUACCUUACUACUUGGAUAACCGUGGUAAUUCUAGAGCUAAUACAUGCUAAAAACCUCGACUUCGGAAGGGGUGUAUUUAUUAGAUAAAAAACCAGCGCCCUUCGGGGCUCCUUGGUGAUUCAUAAUAACUAAACGAAUCGCAUGGCCUUGCGCCGGCGAUGGUUCAUUCAAAUUUCUGCCCUAUCAACUUUCGAUGGUAGGAUAGUGGCCUACCAUGGUAUCAACGGGUAACGGGGAAUUAGGGUUCUAUUCCGGAGAGGGAGCCUGAGAAACGGCUACCACAUCCAAGGAAGGCAGCAGGCGCGCAAAUUACCCAAUCCCGACACGGGGAGGUAGUGACAAUAAAUACUGAUACAGGGCUCUUUUGGGUCUUGUAAUUGGAAUGAGUACAAUUUAAAUCCCUUAACGAGGAACAAUUGGAGGGCAAGUCUGGUGCCAGCAGCCGCGGUAAUUCCAGCUCCAAUAGCGUAUAUUAAAGUUGUUGCAGUUAAAAAGCUCGUAGUUGAACCUUGGGCCUGGCUGGCCGGUCCGCCUCACCGCGUGUACUGGUCCGGCCGGGCCUUUCCUUCUGGGGAGCCGCAUGCCCUUCACUGGGCGUGUUGGGGAACCAGGACUUUUACUUUGAAAAAAUUAGAGUGUUCAAAGCAGGCCUUUGCUCGAAUACAUUAGCAUGGAAUAAUAGAAUAGGACGUGCGGUUCUAUUUUGUUGGUUUCUAGGACCGCCGUAAUGAUUAAUAGGGAUAGUCGGGGGCAUCAGUAUUCAAUUGUCAGAGGUGAAAUUCUUGGAUUUAUUGAAGACUAACUACUGCGAAAGCAUUUGCCAAGGAUGUUUUCAUUAAUCAGUGAACGAAGUUAGGGGAUCGAAGACGAUCAGAUACCGUCGUAGUCUUAACCAUAAACUAUGCCGACUAGGGAUCGGGCGAUGUUAUCAUUUUGACUCGCUCGGCACCUUACGAGAAAUCAAAGUCUU